Drosophila sulfurigaster albostrigata is the source of this 523-nucleotide long non-coding RNA. RefSeq lists it as uncharacterized. The transcript is spliced from 2 exons. The record is from RefSeq and is a predicted model, not a curated record. Lineage: Eukaryota; Metazoa; Arthropoda; Insecta; Diptera; Drosophilidae.
UAUAAACCAGAAGUUUCAUUAUCGCCUGACUUCUCAGACUGAACGGAUUUAAAAAACAAGAACUUUAAGAAAGCUGUAAGAUGAACGUUGGCCCAGAAUCGACUAGGUUGGUGUGUCCCAGUUGCCAGGUGACGAUUACGACUAAAACGACUCCUAGAUCUUCAAGUAGAACGCAUCUGAUUGCUAUUCUUAUGUGUGCAGUUGGCUGUUGUCUCUGUGCUCCAUUUCUAUAUUGUACCGAAUGUGCCCGAGACAUCGAUCACACUUGCCCCUCCUGCAACAACUAUAUUGGCACAUACAAACGCUGACAAUGCUGUGAAUAGUAAAUUAUGAGGGCUACCCAAAAAUGUAUCAAAGGUGAAGAGUUCACGCUGUUCUAAUCAAUUAUGUUUUCUGUGUUAGUUGCUUAAAUAAAAUGUUCUGGGUGAUGUUCAGAGUAAUUCAUUUAACACAAUGAGCAAAAACUUGUAAUAUGAGGUUCAGUUAAAGUUAAAGAUUAUUUCUAUAUAAUAUUAAAGUGUCA